UCUGUGCUGAUUAUUUUUUAUUAAAUCUUUAAGAAUAGUCAGAGCUCUAUUUUUCUGAUACAGAGCUCCAAAAAGGGGUCCUCCAGCUCAAAUUAGUCACUGAAGUCUGAUUGGUAUAAAGUUUGCAGGGUUUGUUAAUUAAAGUUUGGUGGUGUCAUCUAUGUAUGUAUGGCACUGGGCGUAGAGAUCACCGUUGGGUUUUAUGACUAGUGAAAAUGCUUUCCAAAAAUGUCCAAAACAAUAGGACCUUUAAGUCAAUUAUUGCGCCCCCACAUAACUCCGGGACAAAACCAUGCCCACUAGAGCUGCCUCUCUAUAACUAUACCUACUGUCUCUGACCUUCCAUACUACAACCUCUAGCUAUCUACAUGUGUGGCCUGGUCACUGACUGUUCUCAAAAAUAUUGUCAUAUGAUACAACCUCAAUAAACCAUGGUGUUCCCCAUGUUUUUUAAGAAAACCUAUUUGUGUCACUCAUCCAAUCAGUAAUUCUGCAAUAUAGAAUUUAGACACAGAUACCGGUAUGUCCUAUUUUUCCAUCCAAAUUGGCACAGACCAAUGAGCGAAAUGAGCUGUCACUGACUGCAGUGAUGUCACUGUCACCUGCAUUCUGAGCUGUCAAGUCACUGACGCAUGUGAUUCCUGCAUUCUGAUCAGUCGUGUUGCUUCUGCCUACGACUCCAGGAGAUGACACCUGUCCUACAGCUUCUCAUUCUGCUCUGCUGGUCAUGGAUGUGCCUGGCAGAUGUUAUUCAGAAGCCGGUAUUCCAUCCUGCUCGCCCUAUGGACAAUGUGUCACUGACCUGCACAGACGAUAGAUCCAACUACAACACAAAGUAUUGGUACAAACUUCAGAAUGGGAAAGGGCUUGUUCUUAUCGGAUUCUCUGUCUAUGAACAAGUUACCAUAGAAGAUGGGUUCAGUGAUGGAAGGAUGAAGAUCCAGCCCAAUGGAACCAUCAUAAGUCGCUUGAACGUUUCUCACGUCUCUGCCCAAGACAGCGCAGUUUAUUACUGUGCCAGUAGCAUCCACAGCGAGAAAAUCAUAUUGAGAGAGUGUGCAGAACUGAGACAUUGAGACCCCCCCCCCCACAAUGUGACAGUUAACUAUUAUGAGUAUGAGAGUGGAGACAACGUGUGACGAGUAACGGUUAGAUAAACCACAACUGGGAGAGAUCUCUUUAUUCCUGGGACAAGUGAUAUCAACUAUGUAUCAUUUAUUCAGCUUAGGGGUGGCACUGGUUCUCCUUAAGGCCUCAUACACACACCGUAUCCGUUUUUCAGUCUGCAGAUCACAGAUCCGGAACAUACGGAAGCAGUCUGUGUGCCGUCUUCAUUUUAUUUGCAUACCCAUUGUUUUAAAUAAGUCCUU
Bufo bufo (common toad) is the source of this 1370-nucleotide non-coding RNA. NCBI's taxonomy places the organism in Eukaryota, Metazoa, Chordata, Amphibia, Anura, Bufonidae. The record is from the annotation of a RefSeq genome assembly.